This 6538-nucleotide long non-coding RNA is filed under the name Podarcis lilfordi (Lilford's wall lizard). The record is from RNAcentral. Lineage: Eukaryota; Metazoa; Chordata; Lepidosauria; Squamata; Lacertidae.
AAUACCACAAAGAAGAAAGUGUGGUCGAAUCAACAUUGCCAGAAUACCUGAACUUUGUGGACUGUAUUCUGCCUUGGUUAGACCACACCUGGACUACUGUGUCCGGUUCUGAGCACCACAAUUUAGGAAGGUUGUUGACAAGCUGGAAUGUGUGCAGAGGAGGGUAACUAAGAUGAUCAAGGGUCUAGAAGCCAAGUAUUAUGAAAAAAUGGUUGAAGGAGCUGGGUAUGUUUAGCCUUGAAAAGAGGAGUUUGAGAGGAGAUUUGAUAGCCAUCUUCACAUAUCUCAAGGGUUGCCACAUGGAAGAUGGAGCAAACUUGAUUUCUCCUGCUCUGGAGGGUAGGGCUCAUAGCAAUAGCUUCAAUUUACAAGAAAGGAGAUGGCUGUCAAGCAAUAGGUUAAGUAAACAGAUAUGCAAUUGGCUAGUGUUCUCAUAGUUUGAAAAUAUUCUUAAAUAAAGAAUGAUUAGGAGUUGUGUCUAACAUUAGUCAUACUUUGGUCCAUUAAUUUAAAUGGGCCUACUCUAAGUAGAACUUGGCUACAACCCUGUGGCUGCAAUCCUGUAUACACCUAUCUUACUUUAAGAUAAGUCCAACUGGAGCUUACUUCUGAGUAGACAUGUAUAGAAUCCCACUGUACCUGCUCAAAUGUUUGAAAUUCCUGCUUUGAAUUCCAAGUUUAAUUUAAUGGGCACCCAUGGUUAAUGCUGCAAAUGUGUAUUAAACGUGAAGAAUAGCCAUGCAUGAUUAAAAAAAAUUAUUCAUGUCUUCUCAUUUUACAUGUAAAUAAAAUAUAUUUUCCUCUAAUUUAACAGGGCAUUGCUGCUGCUUCUUUUUUAAAAAAACAACAACAACAUUCUGCAGUGCAGGUAAGAUUAAGAUAUCAUUUAUAGUGGAGUGAAACUGGAAUGAUUUUUUUAUUUAAGAAAGUGCAAGUCUCCAUAAUUAAAAUCAUAUUGCUAAUUACUCUAGUGCUCAGAAAAAUGCUGUUAUUGUUUUCAAUUAGUGGUGAUGAAACUAGCUAGAAGAAUUUAUAAAGGCAGAAGCUGUAAAACGGCUGUAUUUUGUCUAAGGGAUUCUUUGUAAUAAAUGGCUAGCUAGCCAAAAUUAAAUAGAUAUGACUGGCUCUUCUUAGGGCAAGAAAGGAUUUUAUAGGACAUGAUGCCUCAAAGUGCCAACAUUCAUAUUCCACAGCAAUAUCAGCAGAUUGAAGCCAGGGCAUCAUUCCAGAAAUUAUAACGGUUACUCUGGAAAGAGGUAGCAUUCACUCUCAUAGCAAAACUUGUAGACUAAUAUAUCUUUGUGGGAAAGGGCCCCAAGUGGGCAUUUCCAUAAGCAAAGCACCAGUGGUAUUUGAUUCACAGUAUCUAUUUUCAUACAAAUAUCUACCACCCAUCUCUAUUUAUGCCAUUUUCUGAGAUAGAUAUGCGAGCGAGCACAGUGACACAAAAAUUAUUACCAUCGUAACAAAAAUAUUAUGGUAAUAUAAGCAGUAAUGGAGAUGAAGAUUUGUUUGCUGCAUGAGCAGAGAAGGCAUCACAAGUUGCUAAUUGAUACUAGAAUAGAAUGACUUUAUUAGUUUGCUUGGUUUCUUGACAGGCAGUUCUUUAGGUAUGAAUCUGCAAGCUCAUAAGCCACCGGUAAUAUUCAAUUUUUUUUUGUCUCCAUUGGCUGGAAGGCACAAACUCAUGCAGAAUAUCUAUCUAUAUAGCUCCCAUUCAUUUGGCUCAGUGAAAGAUAAAUGAAUGGAAUGCAGCACAAAACCUAAACUUACCUGUUAAACAUGAAGGUUUUGAGCAAAUUUCUUUUCACUGAGCCCUGUGAAAUAAAACGUCUUAGUUAUUCUCUUUAUAUCAGUGCCACAUCACGCGUAUUGUGAUCCCAACAGCUCAGAGGAAAAUAACUGACAUCUGUGGCAAGAUGAUAUCUGUCAGACUGUUUUAUGAAGUAGGGGGUCAGACCCUUUCUGUUAGAUCAGCUGAUAAGACAGCUUUAGUAAUCUACUUAUCCGAUAAUAUCUAUAAAGGGAGUGUGAGUAGUUAAGGAAAGGAAACAUAAGACAUUUCAAAAAACUAAGUUAUUGCCCUGUUUCCUCCAAUGCCUUCUAUAUUUAUAGAAAGAGAAAGUAUUAACUUAUCUUGAUCAAACUACACACUAUGCCAUUUGUGGUGCAAUUGUCAUUAGUACCAUGCCAUACAGAGUGCAGUUCAACACUUACCACCAUCUGCCUCAAAUCAAUUAUAAUAAAUCAACCAAUAGUGUUUCACUCAUGGCAUAAUUGCAGUGGGCCAAUUAUAAAACAAAAGUUUGAGGCAGAAAGUUGAUAAGCACUAUUCAUUACCCAGCAUUAACUGUCACAUUUCCCCCUACUUAAGCAGGUCUUCUAAAUAAAUAAGUGCAGACUUACAGACACCAUCAAUAUCUUGAAUAAGGUACAGGAAACAGCAGAAAUUAUAAUAAAGUUAAGAUAUAUAUGUACAUGCAUCUGAUCUAGCUAGAAACCAUUCCCUUUGCAAUACAACACUUUGGAUUCCAUGAGAAAUUUCUCAGAUAUACAACUCUACAGUUCUUCUCCAACUUGGGUUUUAAUACAUUUUCCCUAGGGUUUCUUGCUCCACUCUAGAAAAAUACACUACACCUCCAUUCAGUAGCAGAUGGCCAGGGAAGGUGGGGUGUCGGCAAACACCUAAUUUCCAGUUAUCCAUGUCACUACUGCAUAGUGGAAUGGAGAGAGUGAGGGUCAAGGAACAGCAUUGUGCAUACAUGUCAGAAGGAGUGCUGGGUCAGUUGUGCCAGUGUGUUGGCACCACUCCAAUCUCAGCACUGGCCUGCAGCAUUCUGCACUGGCCAUAAGAGAUGCUCAACAUGGAGAACUUACGGUAGUGUAAACAUGAGGUUACCAGCACAUGUGACCCAGUGGCAAAUCAAUCCUUCUCCAGGUGAGGGCACAGUUGAUGUAUUAGCUUAAGUAGGUGAUAAGGGCUGUUUACCAUAGAGGUCACCUGGGCUUCUAUGGACAAAGAUGGUGCAAAUUGCACUCCUAAACUGCAUACCUGCUGCUUCAAGAGGGAAUCCAAAUCCAAAUUUGUUGAUUCUGGGAACAACUCAGCCACAAUGUCACUGUCCUAGCAGGAUUCAUCUUCAGUCUGGGGUCUCUCAGUCAGUUCUUAAUUCUUCUAAGGUAAGAAAGAGCAAAAGACAAGCCCCCCCAACCCCAAUAUAAUUAAUAUGGAUUUUGGAGAUUUACCGUAUUUUUCGCCCUAUAGGAUGCACUUUUUCCCCUCCAAAAAUGAAGGGGAAAUGUGUGUGCGUCCUAUGGGGUGAAUGCAGGCUUUCACUGAAGCCUGGAGAGAGAGAGGGGUCAGUGCGCACAGACCCCUCUCUAUCUCCAGGCUUCGCGGACCUCUCCGCAAGCAGCGGGAGCCUGGCUCCAGGCUCCCGCUGCUUGCAGAGAGUUGCCUGCAUGCUGAAGCCUGCCCGCGCUGAGCUCAGUGCGUCUAUGCUUCGCGCACCUCUCAGCAAGCAGUGGGAGCCAGCACUGGGCUCCCGCUGCUUGCGGAGAGUUGCCUGCAUGCUGAAGCCUGCGCGCGCUGAGCUCAGCGCGUUGAGGCUUCGUGGACCUCUCCGCAAGCAGCGGGAGCCCGGCGCUGGGCUCCCGCUGCUUGCGGAGAGUUGCCUGCAUGCUGAAGCCUGCGCGCGCUGAGCUCAGCGCGUCCAGGCUUCGCGCACUUCUCAGCAAGUAGCGGGAGCCAGCACUGGGCUCCCAUGGCUUGCAGAGAGCUGCCUGUUUGGGGGCUGGGGUCAGGGGAAGCUCGGGCAUCCCCCGCCCCAGCCCCACGCCUGGGGGAAAAAAUAAUUCCCCCCCCUUUAUUUCCCCGCCAAAAAACUAGGUGCGCCUUAUGGGACGGUGCGUCCUAUAGGGCGAAAAAUACGGUAAUUAAACUAAUAAAGGAUAUGGAUUGUGGAGAAAAGUGACUUCUUAUUACUUUAUCCUCAAAAGCCAUACCUGUUUGUCUAUAUUUUGACAGGCUUAAUCCACUCUGGAGGGGCCUCUGUGCCUACAAAUUUCACCUGCUUCUGUCAAAAGGAAAGAAAGUCAUAGCCACUUUUAUUUUGUGUAAGGGUAAAUGGAGGACUCAGUGCUUCAUUUUACACAAAAUUGAUCAGAACCUUAAUCAGAGACAGAAACAGAAACAGACACAGUACAGAGCGACUCAGCAAUAAAAAAGCACAUAUACAUGUACUGUUAAGCAAAAAUAGGUAUAUGAACUCACAUUUCUUUGUAAUUCUUUUGUAUAUGCAGAGCAAAGUGCAAGACAAGCAAAUGUACUUCAGUUGUUUUCUUUCCACAAUGUACAGCUUGCUGGUAUACAGAUAUACUAACAAAAAUCUGUGACUUUAUAGAAAAUGGCUGUGUUGGGAGCAGAAACUACUAUAUACAAGAGACAAAGGGAAAGAAAGGCUCAGAAUAGAUCAUGUAUCUUGUUUUCCUUGAAACAGGGUCUGUUUAUAAAAAAAUAAUAAUCCAAGAGUACAGCAGCCCAGCAUGGAAGGAGCUAAUUUAGUUGAUGGCUGUGGAUGAGUUUCCGACAUGCUGGCUGGUAGAGUAUGUGAGCCACAGGUGGUUCAAAUCACAGAGACUGCUCCAUGCAAGGACUGAGGCAUUUUCUCACAUGGUUUACUCAUCCCCACUAAUAACAUGGAGAGAGCGGUGAUGUUUCUUUGGGCUAAUCAAUCAACCUCUGCCAUCCCUAGCAGCCCUUCUUUCUUCAAAUGUAAUAUGUGACAAGAAAGAAAGAAAGAAAGAUCUGAAGAUAAAAAGAUUCAAAAUACCAACAUAAAUUUAAAAUAAUUGAAUACUUCCUAAACAUCAGUUAGAACUUUAUGACAGUAAGAGCUAUUUGACAGUGAAACUGACUCCCACAAGAGGUGGUGGACUCUCCUUCACUGGAGGUUUUUAAGCAGAGGAUGAAUGGCCAUCCAUCAUAGAUUCUUUAGUUCACAUUCCUGCAUUUCAGCGGGUUGGACUGGAUGAACCUUCCAGUUCUAUGAUUCGCUGAUUCCUUGACCCCAGAUUUUCAGAUAUUGGAAGUCCCCAUUAGCCUGCUUCCUCUCUUUCCAUGCCACCUGCUAACCCUGAUUUUAAUUUCUGUUUCUUGUCACAGUCUCUGAUACUGGUCAGUUUCUGAUACUUCCAAUUUCCACUCUUUUUUGUUAAACCCUUCCCUCUCAUUGGAAGUAGGUAUCUGUCCCAAAUCCAAGGCAUUUGGCAGAUGGGGGAUCCAUUAAUCCUAGGCUCAACCCUGUCAUGUAUCAGCCCUGGGGGCUGAGAGGAAUAUAUACCCAAUGCAUAAGCUGAAACCUUCCUACACCUGAUAUCAAUAAAGCUGUGGGCAAUUUUUAAACCCAGAAUGCUGUCUUGUCCAGUUUGUUCUACCUCACAGGCUAUUGCUCACUCCUUGAGGAGGGGUCACUACAUCGCAAUGUGGAAUUCAAUGUCCUAGUGUGGCCAUAGUGGUGUGUGUGCCAGUGAAGGUAAGAUUCUUAGAGGUGAGAUGCACAUAGCACCAAGCAUUACUUCCUAGAGCAUCCCUUCUUUCAUGGAGGUAGGCACUACCAGAAGAAAGCAAGUUAUAGAAACAUGGAGAGGGGAUACAAACAUUUUUAAAGACAGGUUCCCAGAAUACAACCAGAAUACAAAUCACUCAAGUAUGUAAUUACAGGUGGCAAACUAAAUAACAAAAAUCUACUUAGUUCAGCUGAUUAUCACAAAGACUUAAGCCACCUUCAAGCAUCUAAAACAAACACUUGUUAGCUUGAAAACUGAAGUGGGGGAAUAUGGAUGCAAGCUCCAACAUCUUUGCAUGCACCAGUUCUACUUCAGACUUCCUCACACUGAGAGAUGUUUAAAGGAAGAUUCAAAGCAUGUUAAACAUUAGGAAGAACUUCCUGACAAUAUGAGCAGUUCAAUGUAGAACAUAAUGAUUUUGAAUGUGGUGGACUCCUUUGUUAAAGGUUUUUAAGCAGGGGCUGGGUUGCCACAUAUCAGUGAUCUUGCAGUAAUGAAUUUACUGCAUUAGAAGGAUUGGACGACUGAGUUUUCUUAAACUCUGUGAACAGUUCCCUAACCUUGGGAGCAAAGGAACUGGGUAAUCUGUGAACUGGACAAAGUCAAAUAAAAAUCUGUAAUACAUUUGAACUAAAACUGAGGUAUGGACACUCUCUAUAAUUUAUGUCCUCUCCCAUUAGCCCAUGUGCACUAUUACCAUUCAGAUGUGCUGGGAAACACUUUUGGUCUUUGUGUGACUUGUUCACUGAAUAAUAAGCUGAGCAGCUUGCAAUUGCAGUAGAGCUCUCUGUUCAAACAGCCAAUCAGCUUGCUAUUACUUAUAGCUCUAGACUUUUAAACAGAACUGAGAAAUGGAUUUUUAUUUUGCAAAAUGCCAACCUAUUUCUCAUUAUUGUUUUCCAUUUAAAUAGGUGGCUGUCUUGCUGUUGUUCAUGCUGAUGGGCUUUUGUUAAUCCUUCCCCAUUCCGUG